GCCAUGCAUGUCUAAGUAUAAACGAUUUAAUCGUGAAACCGCGAAUGGCUCAUUAUAACAGCUAUAAUUUACUUGAUCUUGACACAAUCCUACUUGGAUAACUGUGGUAAUUCUAGAGCUAAUACAUGCAUUAAAGCUCUGACCUCACGGGAAGAGUGCAUUUAUUAGAACAAAACCAAGCGGCUUCGGCUGUUUCUGGUUGACUCAUAGUAACUGAGCUGAUCGCAUGGUCUUGCACCGGCGACGUGUCUUUCAAGUAUCUGCCGUAUCAACUUUCGAUGGUAGUGUAUCUGACUACCAUGGUGAUCACGCGUAACGGAGAAUAAGGGUUCGGCUCCGGAGAGUUCGCCUGAGAAAUCGCGAACACAUCUAAGGAAGGCAGCAGGCGCGAAAAUUACCCACUCUCAGCACGAGGAGGUAGUGACGAAAAAUAACGAGACCGUUCUCUUAUGAGGCCGGUCAUCGGAAUGGGUACAAUUUAAACCCUUAAC
This 491-nucleotide ribosomal RNA is filed under the name Acrobeloides sp. Sourhope farm. RNAcentral's name for it is "SSU rRNA". It matches the Rfam family "Eukaryotic small subunit ribosomal RNA", at positions 48 to 538 of the family's 1831-position model. The record is from RNAcentral. Lineage: Eukaryota; Metazoa; Nematoda; Chromadorea; Rhabditida; Cephalobidae.